This 210-nucleotide long non-coding RNA is filed under the name Pan troglodytes (chimpanzee). RNAcentral's name for it is "long non-coding RNA NONPTRT015797". The record is from RNAcentral. Lineage: Eukaryota; Metazoa; Chordata; Mammalia; Primates; Hominidae.
GCAGACACGGGGGUUCCCAAGCCACAGAGGAUAGAGACAGGGGUGCAGGGGGAGAACAGGGAAAGGACAGCGAGGAUGGACAGGCCCUCCUGGAGCGUUCUCCGUGGGCUCCCGCGCCUCCUUCAGGAUUUGGACUUGGACACAGCAAGUCCGAUGAGUCCGGCCAGUCCCGCCACACCCAGGGCCAUGCCUCCCACGAUGGCCAUGCCC